This 277-nucleotide ribosomal RNA is filed under the name uncultured bacterium. Its description in RNAcentral is "partial 16S ribosomal RNA". It matches the Rfam family "Bacterial small subunit ribosomal RNA", at positions 76 to 353 of the family's 1533-position model. The record is from RNAcentral.
UCAAACUGGAGAUGGCGACCGGCGCACGGGUGAGUAACACGUAUCCAACCUGCCGAUAACUCGGGGAUAGCCUUUCGAAAGAAAGAUUAAUACCCGAUGGCAUAAUAGAACCGCAUGGUUUGAUUAUUAAAGAAUUUCGGUUAUCGAUGGGGAUGCGUUCCAUUAGGCAGUUGGUGGGGUAAUGGCCCACCAAACCUUCGAUGGACAGGGGUUCUGAGAGGAAGGUCCCCCACAUUGGAACUGAGACACGGUCCAAACUCCUACGGGAGGCAGCAUG